This 253-nucleotide ribosomal RNA is filed under the name uncultured bacterium. RNAcentral describes it as "partial 16S ribosomal RNA". It matches the Rfam family "Bacterial small subunit ribosomal RNA", at positions 524 to 776 of the family's 1533-position model. The record is from RNAcentral.
UACGUAGGGGCCGAGCGUUGUCCGGAGUUACUGGGCGUAAAGCGCGCGCAGGCGGCUUCGCGCGCCCGACGUGAAAGCCCUCGGCUCAACCGGGGAAGGGCGUCGGGGACGGCGGGGCUUGAGGGCGGCAGGGGCCGGUGGAAUGCCCGGUGUAGUGGUGAAAUGCGUAGAGAUCGGGCGGAACACCCGGGGCGAAGGCGGCCGGCUGGGCCGACUCUGACGCUGAGGCGCGAAGGCGUGGGGAGCGAACGGG